RNAcentral lists this small RNA (99 nucleotides) under Salmonella enterica. Its description in RNAcentral is "partial RtT sRNA". It matches the Rfam family "RtT RNA", at positions 1 to 98 of the family's 130-position model. From Rfam's summary of the family: This family represents a bacterial cis-regulatory element known as RtT RNA. The exact function of RtT is unknown although it is thought that it may be involved in changing the cellular response in relation to amino acid starvation. The record is from RNAcentral. Lineage: Bacteria; Pseudomonadati; Pseudomonadota; Gammaproteobacteria; Enterobacterales; Enterobacteriaceae. RNAcentral also lists the same sequence under 2 other names.
AUAUCUCUCUGUACGGGAAGGAUGAGAAGCUUCUACCAGGGUUCGAUUCGAGCGCAGCGAGAAAGCGUUGCCGCAGGCAACGACCCGAAGGGCGAAGCG